GCCCGCUUGGCUUAGUGGUACAGCGUCGCACUCGUAUCUAACCGACAUGCGAAGAUCCGCGGUUGUGAGUGUGGCCGAAACUCGUCAGUUCGAUUCUUGAAGCUAACGGUAAUGUAGCGAUUCCGCGAGUGGGCA
Non-coding RNA from Neocucurbitaria cava, 135 nucleotides. The record is from the annotation of a GenBank genome assembly. NCBI's taxonomy places the organism in Eukaryota, Fungi, Ascomycota, Dothideomycetes, Pleosporales, Cucurbitariaceae.